GUAGGGAAUAUUGCGCAAUGGACGAAAGCCUGACGCAGCCAUGCCGCGUGAAUGAUGAAGGUCUUAGGAUUGUAAAAUUCUUUCACCGGGGACGAUAAUGACGGUACCCGGAGAAGAAGCUCCGGCUAACUUCGUGCCAGCAGCCGCGGUAAUACGAAGGGGGCUAGCGUUGCUCGGAAUUACUGGGCGUAAAGGGCGCGUAGGCGGACAGCUUAGUCAGAGGUGAAAGCCCAGGGUGAAACCUUGGAAUUGACUUUGAUACUGGCUGUCUUGAGUGUGGGAGAGGUGAGUGGAACUCCGAGUGUAGAGGUGAAAUUCGUAGAUAUUCGGAAGAACACCAGUGGCGAAGGCGACUCACUGGCCCAAUACUGACGCUGAGGCGCGAAAGCGUGGGGAGCAAACAGGAUUAGAAACCCGUGUGGUCC
Molecule: ribosomal RNA, 425 nt
Filed under: uncultured bacterium
Lineage: Bacteria
Description: partial 16S ribosomal RNA
Rfam family: Bacterial small subunit ribosomal RNA
Source: RNAcentral